GAUGAACGCUGGCGGCGUGCCUAAUACAUGCAAGUAGAACGCUGAAGGAGGAGCUUGCUCUUCUGGAUGAGUUGCGAACGGGUGAGUAACGCGUAGGUAACCUGCCUGGUAGCGGGGGAUAACUAUUGGAAACGAUAGCUAAUACCGCAUGACAACAGUUAUUGCAUGAUAACUGUUUAAAAGGGGCAACUGCUCCACUACCAGAUGGACCUGCGUUGUAUUAGCUAGUUGGUGAGGUAACGGCUCACCAAGGCGACGAUACAUAGCCGACCUGAGAGGGUGAUCGGCCACACUGGGACUGAGACACGGCCCAGACUCCUACGGGAGGCAGCAGUAGGGAAUCUUCGGCAAUGGACGGAAGUCUGACCGAGCAACGCCGCGUGAGUGAAGAAGGUUUUCGGAUCGUAAAGCUCUGUUGUAAGAGAAGAACGAGUGUGAGCGUGGAAAGUUCACACUGUGACGGUAUCUUACCAGAAAGGGACGGCUAACUACGUG
RNAcentral lists this ribosomal RNA (495 nucleotides) under uncultured bacterium. RNAcentral's name for it is "partial 16S ribosomal RNA". It matches the Rfam family "Bacterial small subunit ribosomal RNA", at positions 28 to 507 of the family's 1533-position model. The record is from RNAcentral.